This 1334-nucleotide long non-coding RNA is filed under the name Ficedula albicollis (Collared flycatcher). Its description in RNAcentral is "lncRNA (ENSFALG00000027731.1)". The record is from RNAcentral. Lineage: Eukaryota; Metazoa; Chordata; Aves; Passeriformes; Muscicapidae.
GGUGAGAUGGACAUGGCAUGUCUCUGUGUGAGUUGGGGAUGUUUGCUAGUGGCAGGCUGGCUGUGCAGUGCUGCUGGACACAGAGCAGCACCACUCUGCUCCCCCAGCACCACUCUGCUCCCCCAGCAGCACUCUGCUCCCCCAGCUCCACUCUGCUCCCCCAGCACCACUCUGCUCCUCCAGCUCCACUCUGCUCCCCCAGCACCACUCUGCUCCUCCAGCUCCACUCUGCUCCCCCAGCACCACUCUGCUCCUCCAGCUCCACUCUGCUCCCCCAGCACCACUCUGCUCCUCCAGCUCCACUCUGCUCCCCCAGCACCACUCUGCUCCUCCAGCUCCACUCUGCUCCCCCAGCACCACUCUGCUCCUCCAGCUCCACUCUGCUCCCCCAGCACCACUCUGCUCCUCCAGCUCCACUCUGCUCCCCCAGCACCACUCUGCUCCUCCAGCUCCACUCUGCUCCCCCAGCACCACUCUGCUCCUCCAGCUCCACUCUGCUCCCCCAGCACCACUCUGCUCCUCCAGCUCCACUCUGCUCCCCCAGCACCACUCUGCUCCUCCAGCUCCACUCUGCUCCCCCAGCACCACUCUGCUCCUCCAGCUCCACUCUGCUCCCCCAGCACCACUCUGCUCCUCCAGCUCCACUCUGCUCCCCCAGCACCACUCUGCUCCUCCAGCUCCACUCUGCUCCCCCAGCACCACUCUGCUCCUCCAGCUCCACUCUGCUCCCCCAGCACCACUCUGCUCCUCCAGCUCCACUCUGCUCCCCCAGCACCACUCUGCUCCUCCAGCUCCACUCUGCUCCCCCAGCACCACUCUGCUCCUCCAGCUCCACUCUGCUCCCCCAGCACCACUCUGCUCCUCCAGCUCCACUCUGCUCCCCCAGCACCACUCUGCUCCUCCAGCUCCACUCUGCUCCCCCAGCACCACUCUGCUCCUCCAGCUCCACUCUGCUCCCCCAGCACCACUCUGCUCCUCCAGCUCCACUCUGCUCCCCCAGCACCACUCUGCUCCUCCAGCUCCACUCUGCUCCCCCAGCACCACUCUGCUCCUCCAGCUCCACUCUGCUCCCCCAGCACCACUCUGCUCCUCCAGCUCCACUCUGCUCCCCCAGCACCACUCUGCUCCUCCAGCUCCACUCUGCUCCCCCAGCACCACUCUGCUCCUCCAGCUCCACUCUGCUCCCCCAGCACCACUCUGCUCCUCCAGCUCCACUCUGCUCCCCAGCAUCACUCUGCUCCCCCAAAGCUCCACUCUGCUCCCCCAGCACCUCUCUGCUCCUCCAGCUCCACUCUGCUCCCCCAGCACCUCUCUGCUCCUCCAGCUCCACUCUG